GACGAACGCUGGCGGCGUGCUUAACACAUGCAAGUCGAACGGAAAGGCCCUGCUUUUGUGGGGUGCUCGGGUGGCGAACGGGUGAGUAACACGUGAGUAACCUGCUCUUGACUUUGGGAUAACUUCAGGUAACUAGGGCUAAUAACGGAUAGGAGCUCCUGCUGAAUGGUGGGGGUUGGAUAGUUUCGGCGGUUGGGGAUGGACGCGCGGGUUAUCAGCUUGUGGGUGGGGUAGUGGCUUACCAAGGCUUUGACGGGUAGCCGGCCUGAGAGGGUGACCGGCCACAUUGGGACUAAGAUAGGGCCCAGACUGCUACGGUGGGCAGUAGUGGGGAGUAUGACGCAGUGGUGGGAAGCGUAUUGCAACAGCGCCGGGUGCGGGAAGUCGGUCUUCGGGUUGUAAACCGCUUUCGCCUAUGACGAAGCGUGAGUGACGGUAAUGGGUAAAGAAGCACCGGCUAACUACGUG
Molecule: ribosomal RNA, 468 nt
Filed under: uncultured bacterium
Lineage: Bacteria
Description: partial 16S ribosomal RNA
Rfam family: Bacterial small subunit ribosomal RNA
Source: RNAcentral